RNAcentral lists this ribosomal RNA (484 nucleotides) under uncultured bacterium. RNAcentral's name for it is "partial 16S ribosomal RNA". It matches the Rfam family "Bacterial small subunit ribosomal RNA", at positions 28 to 507 of the family's 1533-position model. The record is from RNAcentral.
AUUGAACGCUGGCGGCAUGCUUUACACAUGCAAGUCGAACGGCAGCGCGGGCUUCGGUCUGGCGGCGAGUGGCGAACGGGUGAGUAAUUCAUCGGAACGUCCCCAGUAGUGGGGGAUUGCCCGGCGAAAGCCGGAUUCAUACCCCAUUCGACCUGACGGCGAACGCGGGGGACCGAAAGGCCUCGCGCUCUUGCACCGGCCGAUGUCGGAUUAGCUAGUUGGUGGGGUAAAGGCUUACCAAGGCGACGAUCCGUAGCUGGUCUGAGAGGACGACCAGCCACACUGGGACUGAGACACGGCCCAGACUCCUACGGGAGGCAGCAGUGGGGAAUAUUGGACAAUGGGGGCAACCCUGACCCAGCCAUGCCGCGUGCGGGAAGAGGGCCUUCGGGUUGUAAAGCGCUUUUGUUGGGGAAGAAAUCCUCUGGGCUAAUACCCCGGGGGGAUGACGGUACCGGAAGAAUAAGCACCGGCUAACUACGUG